This is a long non-coding RNA of Limulus polyphemus (Atlantic horseshoe crab), 89 nucleotides long. RefSeq lists it as uncharacterized. Lineage: Eukaryota; Metazoa; Arthropoda; Merostomata; Xiphosura; Limulidae. The transcript is spliced from 3 exons. The record is from RefSeq and is a predicted model, not a curated record.
GAACCAACAAAAAUAUUUCCAGUGUUUAUUUAGACUGUUCCCUUGAAGUAAGAGCAUUUAUCAACAGAAUUAAUACAACAAAAACUGAA